GACGAACGCUGGCGGCGUGCUUAACACAUGCAAGUCGAACGGAAAGGCCCUGCUUUUGUGGGGUGCUCGAGUGGCGAACGGGUGAGUAACACGUGAGUAACCUGCCCUUGACUUUGGGAUAACUUCAGGAAACUGGGGCUAAUACCGGAUAGGAGCUCCUGCUGCAUGGUGGGGGUUGGAAAGUUUCGGCGGUUGGGGAUGGACUCGCGGCUUAUCAGCUUGUUGGUGGGGUAGUGGCUUACCAAGGCUUUGACGGGUAGCCGGCCUGAGAGGGGGACCGGCCACAUUGGGACUGAGAUACGGCCCAGACUCCUACGGGAGGCAGCAGUGGGGAAUAUUGCACAAUGGGCGGAAGCCUGAUGCAGCCACGCCGCGUGCGGGAUGACGGCCUUCGGGUUGUAAACCGCUUUCGCCUGUGACGAAGCGUGAGUGACGGUAAUGGGUAAAGAAGCACCGGCUAACUACGUG
This 468-nucleotide ribosomal RNA is filed under the name uncultured bacterium. RNAcentral's name for it is "partial 16S ribosomal RNA". It matches the Rfam family "Bacterial small subunit ribosomal RNA", at positions 28 to 507 of the family's 1533-position model. The record is from RNAcentral.